This 483-nucleotide ribosomal RNA is filed under the name uncultured bacterium. Its description in RNAcentral is "partial 16S ribosomal RNA". It matches the Rfam family "Bacterial small subunit ribosomal RNA", at positions 28 to 507 of the family's 1533-position model. The record is from RNAcentral.
GACGAACGCUGGCGGCGUGCUUAACACAUGCAAGUCGAACGCUGAAGCCCAGCUUUUGUUGGGUGGAUGAGUGGCGAACGGGUGAGUAACACGUGAGUAACCUGCCUCCUUCUUUGGGAUAACGCCCGGAAACGGGUGCUAAUACUGGAUAUUCACUGGUCUUCGCAUGGGGGUUGGUGGAAAGGGUUUUUCUGGUGGGGGAUGGGCUCGCGGCCUAUCAGCUUGUUGGUGGGGUGAUGGCCUACCAAGGCUUUGACGGGUAGCCGGCCUGAGAGGGUGACCGGUCACAUGAGGACUGAGAUACGGCCCAGACUACUGCGGGGAGCAGCAGUGGGGAAUAUUGCACAAUGGGCGCAAGCCUGAUGCAGCGACGCCGCGUGAGGGAUGGAGGCCUGCGGGUUGUGAACCUCUUUCGCUCAUGGUCAAGCCGCAACAAUGGUUGUGGUGAGGGUAGUGGGUAAAGAAGCGCCGGCUAACUACGUG